GCCGGGCGUGGUGGCUCAUGCCUGUAAUCCCAGCAUUUUGGGAGGCUGAGGUGGGUGGAUCACCUGAGGUCAGAAAUUCGAGACCAGUCUGGCCAACAUGGUGAAACCCCAUCUCUA
Molecule: unclassified non-coding RNA, 117 nt
Organism: Macaca fascicularis (crab-eating macaque)
Lineage: Eukaryota; Metazoa; Chordata; Mammalia; Primates; Cercopithecidae
Rfam family: Metazoan signal recognition particle RNA
About the family: The signal recognition particle (SRP) is a universally conserved ribonucleoprotein. It is involved in the co-translational targeting of proteins to membranes.
Source: Ensembl